GUAGUAAUUCUAGAGCUAAUACAUGCCACGUGUUUAUUAGAUAUCGUCCCUCUGGGAACAACAAUAAGCGAGAACCGCAUCGGGAGAUGCGGGGCAUCAUGCAAGUUUCUGCCCUAUCAGCUUUGGAUGGUAGUGUCUUGGACUACCAUGGCAGUGACGGGUGACGGAGAAUUAGGGUUCGAUUCCGGAGAGGGAGCCUGAGAGACGGCUACCACAUCUAAGGAAGGCAGCAGGCGCGCAAAUUACCCAAUCCUGACUCAGGGAGGUAGUGACCAGAAAUAACGACGACGGGUUUCGAUUCGUCGAUUGCAAUGAGCACAAUGUAAAAUUCUUAGCGAGUACCGACUGGAGGGCAAGUCUGGUGCCAGCAGCCGCGGUAAUUCCAGCUCCAGUAGCGUAUAUUAAAGUUGUUGCAGUUAAAAAGCUCGUAGUUGGACGUCUCUGCGACACGCAGCUCCGCCACGCAACUAGGUUCGUCCUUAAUUGAACGGCCUAGACCUGCGGGCCCUUUACCUUGAGGAAACUAGAGUGUUUAAGGCAGGCUGAGCCUGAAUACUGCAGCUGGGAAUAAUGCGCACGACUGUCUUGGCGAGGCAGCUCCACACUUUUAAUAGGAACAGUUGGGGGCAUUCGUACUCAGCAGUCAGAGGUGAAAUUCUUGGAUUUGCUGAAGACGGACUAAUGCGAAAGCAUUUGCCAAGGAUGUUUUCAUUAAUCAAGAACGAAAGUUAAGGGAUCCAAGACGAUCAGAUACCGUCCUAGUCUUAACCAUAAACGAUGCCGACUAGGGAUCGGGAGAGACGUACAAACUCUCUCGGCACCUCACGAGAAAUCCAAGUCUUUGGGUUCUGGGGGGAGUAUGGUCGCAAGACUGAAACUUAAAGGAAUUGACGGAAGGGCACCACAAGGAGUGGAGCCAGCGGCUUAAUUUGACCCAACACGGGGAAACUUACCAGGUCCAGACAUAGUGAGGAUUGACAGAUUGACAGCUCUUUCUUGAUCCUAUGGGUGGUGGUGCAUGGCCGUUCCUAGUUGGUGGAGUGAUCUGCCUGGUUAAUUCCGAUAACGAACGAGACCUCAGCCUGCUAACUAGAUCUUCUUAGAGGGACUUCCUGCUCGCGUGGGAGGAAGUGAGGCAAUAACAGGUCUGUGAUGCCCUUAGAUGUCCUGGGCCGCACGCGCGCUACACUGACGCAACCUGCAAGUUCCAAGCCUGUCAAGGCCUGGCAAACUGCCAACUGCGUCGUAGUUGGAACUGACCCUUGCAAUUCUUGGUCACGAACCAGGAAUUCCU
Molecule: ribosomal RNA, 1294 nt
Filed under: metagenome
Description: SSU rRNA
Rfam family: Eukaryotic small subunit ribosomal RNA
Source: RNAcentral